This 74-nucleotide transfer RNA is filed under the name bacterium. RNAcentral describes it as "tRNA-Arg". It matches the Rfam family "tRNA". From Rfam's summary of the family: Transfer RNA (tRNA) molecules are approximately 80 nucleotides in length. The record is from RNAcentral. RNAcentral also lists the same sequence under 1 other name.
GCCCCGGUAGCUCAGCUGGAUAGAGCAUCGGAUUUCUAAUCCGGGGGCCACAGGUUCGAGUCCUGUCCGGGGUA